This 253-nucleotide ribosomal RNA is filed under the name uncultured bacterium. Its description in RNAcentral is "partial 16S ribosomal RNA". It matches the Rfam family "Bacterial small subunit ribosomal RNA", at positions 524 to 776 of the family's 1533-position model. The record is from RNAcentral.
UACGUAGGGCGCAAGCGUUGUCCGGAAUUAUUGGGCGUAAAGAGCUCGUAGGCGGCCUGUUGCGUCCGCUGUGAAAGCCCGGGGCUUAACCCCGGGUCGGCAGUGGAUACGGGCAGGCUAGAGGUAGGUAGGGGAGAAUGGAAUUCCCGGUGUAGCGGUGAAAUGCGCAGAUAUCGGGAGGAACACCGAUGGCGAAGGCGGUUCUCUGGGCCUUACCUGACGCUGAGGAGCGAAAGCGUGGGGAGCGAACAGG